AGCAGCAGUGAGGAAUAUUGGUCAAUGGACGCAAGUCUGAACCAGCCACGUCGCGUGAAGGAAGACGGCCCUACGGGUUGUAAACUUCUUUUGUAAGGGAAUAAAGUGAGUCACGGGUGACUUUUUGCAUGUACCUUACGAAUAAGGAUCGGCUAACUCCGUGCCAGCAGCCGCGGUAAUACGGAGGAUCCGAGCGUUAUCCGGAUUUAUUGGGUUUAAAGGGUGCGCAGGCGGGAGAUUAAGUCGGCGGUGAAAUUUUGCAGCUCAACUGUAAAAGUGCCAUCGAUACUGGUUUUCUUGAGUGUAGAUGAAGUAGGCGGAAUUUGUGGUGUAGCGGUGAAAUGCAUAGAUAUCACGAGGAACUCCGAUUGCGCAGGCAGCUUACUAAACUACAACUGACGCUCAGGCACGAAGGCGUGGGGAUCAAACAGGAUUAGAUACCCUGGUAGUCCACGCAGUAAACGAUGAUUACUGGCUGUG
Molecule: ribosomal RNA, 480 nt
Filed under: uncultured bacterium
Lineage: Bacteria
Description: bacterial SSU rRNA
Rfam family: Bacterial small subunit ribosomal RNA
Source: RNAcentral